Molecule: ribosomal RNA, 497 nt
Filed under: uncultured bacterium
Lineage: Bacteria
Description: partial 16S ribosomal RNA
Rfam family: Bacterial small subunit ribosomal RNA
Source: RNAcentral
GAUGAACGCUGGCGGCGUGCCUAAUACAUGCAAGUCGAGCGAACAGACGAGGAGCUUGCUCCUCUGACGUUAGCGGCGGACGGGUGAGUAACACGUGGAUAACCUACCUAUAAGACUGGGAUAACUUCGGGAAACCGGAGCUAAUACCGGAUAAUAUAUUGAACCGCAUGGUUCAAUAGUGAAAGACGGUUUUGCUGUCACUUAUAGAUGGAUCCGCGCCGCAUUAGCUAGUUGGUAAGGUAACGGCUUACCAAGGCAACGAUGCGUAGCCGACCUGAGAGAGGGAUCGGCGACACUGGAACUGAGACACGGACCAGACUCCUACGGGAGGCAGCAGUAGGGAAUCGUCCGCAAUGGGCGAAAGCCUGACGGAGCAACGCCGCGUGAGUGAUGAAGGUCUUCGGAGCGUAAAACUCUGUUAUUAGGGAAGAACAAAUGUGUAAGUAACUAUGCACGUCUUGACGGUACCUAAUCAGAAAGCCACGGCUAACUACGUG